Molecule: ribosomal RNA, 365 nt
Filed under: uncultured eukaryote
Lineage: Eukaryota
Description: partial 18S ribosomal RNA
Rfam family: Eukaryotic small subunit ribosomal RNA
Source: RNAcentral
CAAUAGCGUAUAUUUAAGUUGUUGCAGUUAAAAAGCUCGUAGUCGGAUUUUGGCUGAGAACGAACGGUCCGCCGUUAGGUGUGCACUGAUUGGUCUCAGCUUCCUGGUGAGGAGGUGUGCUUCACGGCCACUUAGUCACCGUGGUUACUUUGAAAAAAUUAGAGUGCUCAAAGCGGGCUUACGCUUGAAUAUAUUAGCAUGGAAUAACACCAUAGGACUCCUGUCCUAUUUCGUUGGUCUCGGGACGGGAGUAAUGAUUAAGAGGAACAGUUGGGGGCAUUCGUAUUUCAUUGUCAGAGGUGAAAUUCUUGGAUUUAUGAAAGACGAACUUCUGCGAAAGCAUUUGCCAAGGAUGUUUUCAUUGA